Molecule: ribosomal RNA, 507 nt
Filed under: uncultured bacterium
Lineage: Bacteria
Description: partial 16S ribosomal RNA
Rfam family: Bacterial small subunit ribosomal RNA
Source: RNAcentral
UAGGGAAUCUUCCACAAUGGACGCAAGUCUGAUGGAGCAACGCCGCGUGAGUGAAGAAGGUUUUCGGAUCGUAAAGCUCUGUUGUUGGUGAAGAAGGAUAGAGGCAGUAACCGGUCUUUAUUUGACGGUAAUCAACCAGAAAGUCACGGCUAACUACGUGCCAGCAGCCGCGGUAAUACGUAGGUGGCAAGCGUUGUCCGGAUUUAUUGGGCGUAAAGCGAGCGCAGGCGGAAUGAUAAGUCNGAUGUGAAAGCCCACGGCUCAACCGUGGAACUGCAUCGGAAACUGUCAUUCUUGAGUGCAGAAGAGGAGAGUGGAACUCCAUGUGUAGCGGUGGAAUGCGUAGAUAUAUGGAAGAACACCAGUGGCGAAGGCGGCUCUCUGGUCUGCAAACUGACGCUGAGGCUCGAAAGCAUGGGUAGCGAACAGGAUUAGAUACCCUGGUAGUCCAUGCCGUAAACGAUGAGCGCUAGGUGUUGGGGACUUUCCGGUCCUCAGUGCCGCAGC